Molecule: ribosomal RNA, 623 nt
Filed under: uncultured archaeon
Lineage: Archaea
Description: bacterial SSU rRNA
Rfam family: Archaeal small subunit ribosomal RNA
Source: RNAcentral
AUAAUACUCCAUAGAUUAGAGACACUGGAAUGUUCUUUAGUCGAAAGUUCUGGCGCCUUAGGAUGGAUCUGCGGUCGAUUAGGUUGUUGUUGGGGUAACGGCCCAACAAGCCUGUAAUCGAUACGGGUUGUGGGAGCAAGAGCCCGGAGAUGGAAUCUGAGACACGAUUCCAGGCCCUACGGGGCGCAGCAGGCGCGAAAACUUUACAAUGCAGGAAACUGUGAUAAGGGAACUCCGAGUGCCCGUAUACGCGGGCUGUCCAGGUGUUUAAAAAUCAUCUGAGGAAAGGGCCGGGCAAGACCGGUGCCAGCCGCCGCGGUAAUACCGGCGGCUCGAGUGGUGGCCACUAUUAUUGGGCUUAAAGCGUCCGUAGCUGGACCGAUAAGUCUCUUGGGAAAUCCGCCGGCUCAACCGGCGGGCGUCUAAGGGAUACUGUUAGUCUAGGGACCGGGAGAGGUGAGAGGUACUCCGGGGGUAGGAGUGAAAUCCUGUAAUCCCCGGGGGACCACCGAUGGCGAAGGCAUCUCACCAGAACGGCUCCGACAGUGAGGGACGAAAGCUGGGGGAGCGAACCGGAUUAGAUACCCGGGUAGUCCCAGCCGUAAACUAUGCGCGUUAUGUGU